Molecule: ribosomal RNA, 777 nt
Filed under: uncultured Neocallimastigales
Lineage: Eukaryota; Fungi; Neocallimastigomycota; Neocallimastigomycetes; Neocallimastigales
Description: partial large subunit ribosomal RNA
Rfam family: Eukaryotic large subunit ribosomal RNA
Source: RNAcentral
CGUCUAUAUACGUAUAGCAUAUCAAUAAGCGGAGGAAAAGAAACUAACUAGGAUUCCCUUAGUAACGGCGAGUGAAGCGGGAAGAGCUCAAAUUUGAAAUCUUCAAGGUUCUACCUUGACGAAUUGUAGUUUAAAGAAGUGUUUUCUGUUGGAGUUUUGGUAAAAGUUCUUUGGAAUAGGACAUCAUAGAGGGUGAGAAUCCCGUAUUUGACCAUUUCUUCCAAGCUGUGUGAUACACUUUCAAAGAGUCGGAUUGUUUGGGAAUGCAGUCCAAAAUGGGUGGUAAAUUUCAUCUAAAGCUAAAUAUUGGCGAGAGACCGAUAGCGAACAAGUACCGUGAGGGAAAGAUGAAAAGAACUUUGAAAAGAGAGUUAAACAGUACGUGAAAUUGUCAAAAGGGAAGCGUUUGACACCAGUGUUGUUUUCUCGAAAAUCAAUUAAAAAUGGCGGGAUUUUGUGUUGUAUUGACUUUAUCAGCUUUCUGCACUUUUUUCUUGUCUUUUUUAAUGCACUUUUCGUUUAACAAGUCAACAUCAAUUUCUUUUGUUGUAAAAGAGGUCAUUGGAAGGUGGCUUUCUUUUCGGAGAAAGUGUUUAUAAGCCUUUGACUUCUGCAGUCGGAGAGAUUGAGGUCUGCAGCGUAGAUCCUUCGGGGUUAGAUACAUUUGUGCUAAGCUAUAGCCUUUCAUAGACAACUUGUUGACUAUGAUCAGUCAUGUAGCUUACUCGCUUAUGCUAUUUUACCUACGCUUAGGAUGUUGACGAUCAGCUGAGCGCG